RNAcentral lists this long non-coding RNA (919 nucleotides) under Equus caballus (horse). Its description in RNAcentral is "lncRNA (ENSECAG00000050312.1)". The record is from RNAcentral. Lineage: Eukaryota; Metazoa; Chordata; Mammalia; Perissodactyla; Equidae.
GAAAAUAUCACUUAAAGGGAAGAUGGGAAAUGAAUCUGAGAAUAAACAGGUACCUGAGAUGGCCUGUGCAGCUCCAUUUCUUAUGUCCUGUGUUCAAGACAAAGAGAAGAGGGAAGGACCAGGCCAAUCAUUUAUGUCUCUAUUUAUCAGAGAAACUAAUUUUUAUUUUCCAGAAUAUGCCUGGUUGACUUCCACCUGGGUUCUCACUGGUCUGGACUGAAAGGCUGAGAAACCGGGAAAAGAAUGGUCAUAACUGUCAGAGACCAAUUACGGUUCCCCAUCUGAAGUUGUGCAUAAUGUUAUUGUAAGCAAAACAGGGUUUCAGAUGGCAGCUAAGAGUAGAGAAUGGAAAGUGGGGUCCCACGUUUUGUUACCUCUGACAGUGGAAAGGCAACUGUAGCUCCAAGAUUCAUGUACAAGAGGGUCUCAAAACCCUUAAAGCUAUUUGAAGCUAAUGGUUUGUACAUUCUAGUUUACAACUCUGAGAAACAAUAUCAAACAAGCAUUGUCAACUCCUAGUGCUAUGGAAAAAACUCUUAAGUACCAUGGACAAAAACAGACAGAGCAAAGGGAAGAGGAUUGGAAGUUCCAGGGCGGUCAUAGCUGCAAUUUUAUAUAGAAUGUCCAGGUGGGGAUCUUUUGUGCUACAGCCUCAUCUGGUUUUUACUGGCGUGCUUCUAUUUCUUCUUUAAAAAUUCAGGCUGGCUUUUCUCAUAGUUGGGGAUCCUCACACUUUCCCUGGAUCUGGGUAAAAGCCAUGGAAGUUUUUUUGAUUCAGAGUUCCUCUGUCUUUCAAACAGUAAUAAUUCUCUGUUCUUCGAAGCUAGGAUUUAUGUGUUGUUUUGUUCCAGGUCGCUGAAGAGAGCGUAUUAAACAGCUAAAUCAUUCAGGAUUAAAAAAAAAUAAAUCUGCUUUUGCC